ACCUUCAAAGGACAGCCCAUUGAAUUCAACCAAGACAUGAAGACAGUGAACUCAAAGAGCUCCUUGAAGUUUUCAAACUCAAAGCCUACAUGCUACAGAGCAAUGUCCUUGAUAUUUUGAGGUUCUCGGAGAUAUUGCAGGUUCAGUUCCAGGCCAUCAUACUAAAGCAAAUAUCACAAUAAAAUUUAAAAUCCACAACCCAGACACAGUUUUGAAGACAAAAAGUGAGGAAGAUAGAAGUGAGGAAGAGGCAUACAUGUUGCUAAGACGAUUGGAACUCCAAGCAGGACAUUUCCUGUGACGGGGAGCUGGGAACCACGUCUCUGUGUGCAAUGCGAAUACACAGGUAUGCGAAGCAAAGCACGUCGGGUGUACUCCUGCUCGCCAAGUGCCCAUCUGCACGCACAGCACCAGCUCUGCAGAAGUGUAAAACAGCCGUGUGGAAGGACAGAGCCAAAAACUCAUUAAGCUUAAUGGUGGUGAUGAUCACACCAAUUCUUCAUAUUUACUCACUAAAUUUCUUCCAGAAGGAUGGAU
This is a long non-coding RNA of Eptesicus fuscus (big brown bat), 537 nucleotides long. RefSeq lists it as uncharacterized. The transcript is spliced from 4 exons. Lineage: Eukaryota; Metazoa; Chordata; Mammalia; Chiroptera; Vespertilionidae. The record is from RefSeq and is a predicted model, not a curated record.